This is a long non-coding RNA of Sardina pilchardus (European sardine), 1033 nucleotides long. RefSeq lists it as uncharacterized. The record is from RefSeq and is a predicted model, not a curated record. The transcript has 3 exons. NCBI's taxonomy places the organism in Eukaryota, Metazoa, Chordata, Actinopteri, Clupeiformes, Clupeidae.
UUUACUGUAGUCUACCAAUGGAAAGUGUUUUUACAUUGUUAGGCUGAUUUCUGAAAGAGUAAUGUGAUUAAAUGUUGCAGUGUGGACGAAGUAAGUUUAUUUUGUACAAAUUAUAUUUUUUUCAUUUGGCUCCACAUCUUGGUGAGGGAAUACAUAAGUCUACACUAUCACCACCAUGUAUUAAUAAACACUUGAUUGACAGAAAAGUCACUUUAAGAACAGUAGCCUAAUUAUUUUUACAGAUAUUGUAUUUACAUGUCAAUUCAGUAUCAGAAUCUCAGUACUUGGCAGUACUCACUCUCAAAAAAAUGAAAUCUCACUAUUGCUCAUCUUAAUGAAUCCUUUUUCGUAGGAUUUACACAAUAAAAUUAGGUUUCUAGGUGAAAAGGAGUCAGUUAUACGAAAUGCAUUCGUGUUUGGAGGAAAUAUGUCACUCUAUGGUCGCCGUAGAAGCAUUAUUUCAAAACGCACAAACGAGGGUCUCUGGCUGUGGCAGGUCUGCCUCUUCUCCCUCACUCGUGGAUUGUAAGACGUGGGAGUGCAGAGUGCAAGACAUCAGCGUCAUUGAGGUCUCUCUUACAGAAGCAUUACAGAUGUGCAGAAUUUCACACGCAUUGUGCAGCUGAAGUCCAAGUUUAUGCCAGAACUUGACAUCUGCUCCAGGCUGUCUGCUGAGUGCCAUAGGAAGGGAGGAGAAACAAGACAUAAGAUUAAGGAGAUCAUGGCUGCCAUUGAUCGGGUUAGUGAGAAGUUGUUUUGUGCCUCCCACUUUGAAAACCAAUAUUAGGCCAUGAGCUACAGGGCCGUAACAUGCACCUGUCAACGAAACAUUUUUGACCAUGCUGACAUGACGAAUUUGAAUGUUAACAUUUACAUUUUUGGGUUGCACUACCUGUUUCUACCCCAUGAAUAGAUUUGCAUUGAAGAUCAAUGUGUUCCAAAAAAUCUCUCAAUACAUUGGAAAUGCAUUAUAUGAACCUCUACAUGUGAUUACGUAAACACACCUUGUCACAUGCCCCACCUCUCUCUAAGU